UACGUAGGGUGCGAGCGUUAAUCGGAAUUACUGGGCGUAAAGCGUGCGCAGGCGGUUUGUUAAGCCAGAUGUGAAAGCCCCGGGCUCAACCUGGGAACUGCGUUUGGUACUGGCAAGCUAGAGUACGGCAGAGGGGGGUGGAAUUCCACGUGUAGCAGUGAAAUGCGUAGAGAUGUGGAGGAACACCGAUGGCGAAGGCAGCCCCCUGGGCCGAUACUGACGCUCAGGCACGAAAGCGUGGGGAGCAAACAGGAUUAGAAACCCCCGUAGUCC
Molecule: ribosomal RNA, 273 nt
Filed under: uncultured bacterium
Lineage: Bacteria
Description: partial 16S ribosomal RNA
Rfam family: Bacterial small subunit ribosomal RNA
Source: RNAcentral